ACUCAAAUGAAUUGACGGGGGCCCGCACAAGCGGUGGAGCAUGUGGUUUAAUUCGACGCAACGCGAAGAACCUUACCCGGGCUUGAACUGCAGAUGACAGACCAUGAAAGUGGUUUUCCGCAAGGACAUCUGGAGAGGUGCUGCAUGGCUGUCGUCAGCUCGUGUCGUGAGAUGUUGGGUUAAGUCCCGCAACGAGCGCAACCCUUGUUCGCUGUUGCCAUCAGGUAAUGCUGGGCACUCUGCGGAGACUGCCGGUGACAAACCGGAGGAAGGUGGGGAUGACGUCAAGUCAGCAUGGCCUUUAUGUCCGGGGCUACACACGUGCUACAAUGGCCGGUACAAACCGCCGCAAACCUGCAAAGGUGAGCUAAUCGGAGAAAGCCGGUCUCAGUUCGGAUUGUAGGCUGCAACUCGCCUGCAUGAAGUCGGAAUCGCUAGUAAUCGCGGAUCAGCACGCCGCGGUGAAUACGUUCCCGGGCCUUGUACACACCGCCCGU
This 497-nucleotide ribosomal RNA is filed under the name uncultured bacterium. Its description in RNAcentral is "partial 16S ribosomal RNA". It matches the Rfam family "Bacterial small subunit ribosomal RNA", at positions 899 to 1397 of the family's 1533-position model. The record is from RNAcentral.